UGGGUAACCUGCCUCAAAGAGGGGAAUAGCCUCCCGAAAGGGGAGAUUAAUACCGCAUAAUAUGUUUAGGUCGCAUGACUUUAACAUCAAAGGAUUUUUCUUUUAGAAAUUCCACUUUGAGAUGGACCCGCGGCGCAUUAGCUAGUUGGUGAGGUAACGGCUCACCAAGGCAACGAUGCGUAGCCGACCUGAGAGGGUNAUCGGCCACAUUGGAACUGAGACACGGUCCAGACUCCGUAGGAGG
RNAcentral lists this ribosomal RNA (244 nucleotides) under uncultured bacterium. Its description in RNAcentral is "partial 16S ribosomal RNA". It matches the Rfam family "Bacterial small subunit ribosomal RNA", at positions 118 to 348 of the family's 1533-position model. The record is from RNAcentral.